UCCUGAGAACCAAGGCCAACAACAACUCUUGGAGAUACAUUCUCAUGGACAAAGUACAACCAGUGCUGAAUGGGGGGUGCUCCAGAGAAGGGGCUCGACCUGGGGUGGAAUUGCAUCACCACUUGUCCUCCUAACUGGUGCUUUUUAUCAAUUAUGCUAAUUUCCUAAAACCUAUAAAAAGGUACUCACCCCUGGGUGGGGGAGGGCUUUUAUGGACACCUAUCCUUAACUGCCUCUGAAGGUUUUCAAAAAAAGAUCCCCCUUUAUAUUACCUCCUUACUAAAAUUAUCUCGAGUUUCAUUUCCAGGUUGAAAAAAAGGCAAGAGUUAUUCUGGCACACCCAGAUGAGGACAGGAGAACUUGGUACCCUGCAAGGAAUUCUUUCCUCUCAGCAAUCUUGAGAAUUCCGUGCAGCGGCCUGAGGUUGAGACACCAUGGCUCCAAGAUCCCGCAGGAGAUAAUACCAAGAAAGGCCAAGGACUCCGUGCUACUACAUGGAAGAAUUCUAAAAUAGGGAAAAAGAGCGGAAAAAGAGCCAGCUCACCAAGACAAUCCUGCCUGAAGGUUUAAAGCACCGCCCUAUAUUCAGAAAUCAGCUGGCAAAGAAACUGGAGAACUGGGGAAGUCAGCAACUGCGAAUUGCUGUAUCCAACCAGCAGCCAAGAAUUGCUACAUCCAACAGUCGCAUGCAACCCACUACCGUACAGGAAGCCUAUUCCAGCAGACCAGACCUGAAGGAUGUGCCAGACUGGGAGCUGUAUGCAGACAAGAGCCGCUCCAUAUGAGAUGGAAAACAGGUGACAAGCUCUGCAGUGACAACCACGAACCAGGUAACCAGGAAAAAGGCCUUGGCAUAAAAUGUAUCAUCACAAAAGGCUGAACUGAUUACUUCAAUGAAAGAUCUAAAACUGAGCAAAGUCAUCCGGAAGGAAAGAAGACUGGCAACUAUUCAAGGUAACGGAAUUGAGCAUUCUGAACAGACCCAUGCACUCCUACAGAAUAUUUGGGAAUACAGAGAAUCAGUUUUUAUGCAUUACAAAGCUCAGCAAAAUGGGAAAACAACUCCCAAAUUAAAUAAUCAUUUUGCUGAUUAAAUAGUAAAAGGGACUGCAGAAAAAGGCAUCCUUAACAGAAGGAAAUUGAUUUGUCAAGGUUUGCCCCAAAGUGUGACUUAAAGGACCAUCAGUUUUCUGGCACAAAGGCUGAGAUCAAGGAAAGUGAACAGACUAUUACACCAAAAAGAACCCAAACAUGGGCAAAAGAGUUGUGUUAAAAAUAACAGAGAGAGGCAGGAGAUUUUCCUGGGGACUACUGGCAAAUAGAUUCUGCUGAGUUACCAAGCUAAGAAAGAAACAGGUAUGUAUUGGUGAUAGUUGACACCUUUAGUGGACAGCCUAAAGCCUAACCCUGUCACACUAACACAGCAAGGGAGGUGGUGAAAGUUUUUCUCAAUCAUAUAAUUUUAAAGGUUUGGGGCUCCUUCGGGGUUGGUCCCGCAGUGAUCAGGAAAAUUAGUCAGAUGUUGGGAAUUGUUUGGGAUCUGUAAAUUCCCUAUAUAUCCCAGACGAGUAAUAAAGCUGAAUGUGUGAAUGGAAACCUCAGAACAAGAUAAGUAAAGUUUGUCAGAAACAUCUGUGACAUGGGUUCAAGUCUUGCCUAUAGCCUAGCUGAGAAUCUGCAUGCAACCAAGGCAGAGACAACAUAAAUCCUUAUUAUGGGAAAGAUACCCUUUUAGAUCAUGAUGAGGAAAACUUUCAUCCCAUCAGCCUUUGCAGACUAGUGUUAAUAUUUCUUUGGUUUUGUUGUUUCAUUGUUUUAAGUUUAUGCCACCCUGUUACCAUAUAUGCACACCUACCAGAAUGUUCUUCCUUCCCUUGGACCCCACUGGGUUAUGUUUGCCACCCCACCCCUGUGAUCCCAUUAGUCUCCCCAGUUCCUAGUCACCCCUCUGCACAACAUUUCCCUAUCCCUACUGCACCUUGACCCUCAGAAAUACCCCUUCUAUCCAGUACAUAACCCUGGAUCCUUGGCCCACUUUUGGCUCUCAUCCCUGGCACACAUUUGAGGCUGUAUCCACGAUGUAUGCGCUGACAAUAAACAGCGAUUGGAUUUCCAAACGGGACACCAUCUCCUCGCCUUUAUCAUCAGGUUUUUAUUAGCAGAGUGCACCGGGCCCUGAAGCGCUCUCAGCGACAUGCAGCGGGAUGAUGGAACACCUUAUGAAAUAUUGCAUGGCAGGCCAUAUCAAAUUGUGUAUAUUAUGGGAGAAAUCCAUUUGAGGGGAAAAUAGACUUGCUGAGGUAUUUAAAAACUUUUAAGUUCCACUUUGCAGAAGCUCCAGAGAUUCGUCAUGUUAUCUGGACACACAUGCCCACCUGUUCCAGCCCGGAGAAUGAGUCUGUUAAAUCGAAAGACAGUAACCUUACAAGCUAAGUGGAAAGGGCCAUUUCAAGCCCUAACUACCCCCACUGAAACCAGAGGCGCUGACAAAGCACUCUGAAUUCACUGCUCCAGAGUUAAGAAGACCUCUGCUCCUCAAACAAACAGACAACAAUGACUGAUACAAAUCAAGAUGAUGUGAUUUAAAUUUUUCUUUUGGGUCUCUUAUCUGCACAGUUGGUAAUGAUGAUUCAGAUUUGGCCCUAAAAAUUUGCACGUAGCUCUAGUCCAAAAUGUAUCCAAAAACUCUUCAUAAGAACAACUUAUCAAAGGGGUGUUGGAUAUAAAAAUUUGGUCUGGUAAGUUUUGCCUCUAGAUAAAGAUCAGGCCUGUGUCCAUGGGGCUGUGAUUCCAAAUACGUAAUAUUCAAUCAUAUUAAGGCUAUUGACAAAACAGAAUUGCUCUUAAUUUCCUACUAACCACAAAAUCAGUAACACUGAUUGUUGUUCUUAUGCAGAUCAGAGUGAAAGAACAGCUAAGAAUGUGGUUGAAAUUUGAAAGCAAACUCAUUCUACACCAGGUAGCUCUCAAAGGAAUUCACUGAACCUUGGGUAUCUUCAAUACAUUCACAUCAUGGUUACCUAACGGAGCCUGGAUAAAACAACAUUCAUGGUAGCUGUAGUUAUAGUUGGCAUCCGUAUAGCAACUAGUAAGAUAGCUGGUUGUAUAAACUGGUAGUGUGGUUAAAGAUGGAGUAGAGACUAAACAAGGUGGAGUCUUGUUAGACUCUAAAAAAACAGGGGGAAUGAUGCCAUUUAGGUUUUGCCUUUUUUUCUCUUAUAUGUUCUCUGUAUUCUUCACACAUAUAUUUGUACCUCUGUAGCCUGUUGUAUUAGUGACUACUUUUCCUGGUACUUUUCCAUGGCCUUCCCUUAAGCAGAAACACAGAACAAAUUCCAGAGCUCCAAGCCCCAGGAGGUACAAGGCUCUUCCUGAGAACCAAGGCCAACAACAACUCUUGGAGAUACAUUCUCAUGGACAAAGUACAACCAGUGCUGAAUGGGGGGUGCUCCAGAGAAGGGGCUCGACCUGGGGUGGAAUUGCAUCACCACUUGUCCUCCUAACUGGUGCUUUUUAUCAAUUAUGCUAAUUUCCUAAAACCUAUAAAAAGGUACUCACCCCUGGGUGGGGGAGGGCUUUUAUGGACACCUAUCCUUAACUGCCUCUGAAGGUUUUCAAAAAAAGAUCCCCCUUUAUAUUACCUCCUUACUAAAAUUAUCUCGAGUUUCAUUUCCAGGUUGGCCAAAAGGCAAAUUUAUAGGCAAUUAUCUCUUGUCCUUAAUAAAAAGGCAAAGAGCUGAAGAUCAGUAGCAUUUUGCCUGUGCAUAUGCACACACUGAACUACCAGAUUUUUGUACUUCUGAUUAUUUUAAAUAGAAGUAAUAGGAACAUCUUACAGUUUAUAUAUGCUUAUCAUAAUAAUGCAUAGCUUAAUAACAAAUAUGUUGCAGUUCAACAGGAAUUAAUCACUGUCAUCAAUUUAUUUUU
This is a long non-coding RNA of Hirundo rustica (Barn swallow), 3927 nucleotides long. RefSeq lists it as uncharacterized. The transcript has 3 exons. NCBI's taxonomy places the organism in Eukaryota, Metazoa, Chordata, Aves, Passeriformes, Hirundinidae. The record is from RefSeq and is a predicted model, not a curated record.